This 392-nucleotide ribosomal RNA is filed under the name Bacteroidales bacterium. Its description in RNAcentral is "partial 23S ribosomal RNA". It matches the Rfam family "Bacterial large subunit ribosomal RNA", at positions 2520 to 2925 of the family's 2925-position model. Lineage: Bacteria; Pseudomonadati; Bacteroidota; Bacteroidia; Bacteroidales. The record is from RNAcentral.
GGCACCUCGAUGUCGGCUCGUCACAUCCUGGGGCUGGAGAAGGUCCCAAGGGUUCGGCUGUUCGCCGAUUAAAGUGGCACGCGAGCUGGGUUCAGAACGUCGCGAGACAGUUCGGUCCCUAUCUGUUGUGGGCGUUGGAAGCUUGAGAGGGGCUGACCUUAGUACGAGAGGACCGGGUUGGACAAACCUCUAGUGUACCUGUUGUGGCGCCAGCUGCAUCGCAGGGUAGCUACGUUUGGUGAAGAUAAGCGCUGAAAGCAUCUAAGCGCGAAACUUACCUCAAGAUGAGGCUUCCUUUAAGAGUCCCCGUAGACCACGGGGUUGAUAGGCUGCAGGUGUAAAGGUGGUAACAUCAUAGCUGAGCAGUACUAAUUACUCGUAAGCUUCUUUAU